CCUACGGGAGGCUGCAGUGGGGGAUAUUGCACAAUGGGGGGAACCCUGAUGCAGCGACGCCGCGUGGGUGAAGAAGGGCCUCGGCGCGUAAAGCCCUGUCAGCAGGGAAGAAAAUGACGGUACCUGAAGAAGAAGCCCCGGCUAACUACGUGCCAGCAGCCGCGGUAAUACGUAGGGGGCAAGCGUUAUCCGGAUUUACGGGGUGGAAAGGGGGCGCAGACGGCGAUGCAAGCCAGGAGUGAAAGCCCGGGGCCCAACCCCGGGACUGCUCUUGGAACUGCGUGGCUGGAGUGCAGGAGGGGCAGGCGGAAUUCCUGGUGUAGCGGUGAAAUGCGUAGAUAUCAGGAGGAACACCGGUGGUGAAGGCGGCCUGCUGGACUGCAACUGACGUUGAGGCCCGAAAGCGUGGGGAGCAAACAGGAUUAGAUACCCGGGUAGUC
This 440-nucleotide ribosomal RNA is filed under the name uncultured bacterium. RNAcentral's name for it is "partial 16S ribosomal RNA". It matches the Rfam family "Bacterial small subunit ribosomal RNA", at positions 338 to 795 of the family's 1533-position model. The record is from RNAcentral.